This 333-nucleotide ribosomal RNA is filed under the name Triticum aestivum (bread wheat). RNAcentral's name for it is "partial small subunit ribosomal RNA". Lineage: Eukaryota; Viridiplantae; Streptophyta; Magnoliopsida; Poales; Poaceae. The record is from RNAcentral.
CUACACCACCUUCUCGUCGGCUGCGUCUUCUCGCGCAUCAUAUGGCACGACAUCAUGGCGUGGUGCCGCAUACCCACCUUACCACCCGACGGCACCACCGGAUUCUUCGACUGGUGGACGGCGGCCAAGGCUAGCGUGCCGGCUUGCCUCCGCAAAGGGCUGAACUCCCUAAUUAUCCUCACCUCUUGGGCAAUUUGAAAACACCACAACACAACCCUCUUCGACAAUGUUGCACCCUCCUACAACAAACUCAUCGAGGACAUACAACAGGAGUCGAAACUAUGGGCAAGAACCGGCGCCAAAGGGCUCGAUAGGAUCAUUCAUGUAACAUAA